GACGAACGCUGGCGGCAUGCCUAAUACAUGCAAGUCGAGCGAACAGAUGAAGUGCUUGCACUUCUGACGUUAGCGGCGAACGGGUGAGUAACACGUAAGGAAUCUACCUAUAAGCGGGGGAUAACAAUAGGAAACGGGUGCUAAUACCGCAUAAUAUCUUCUUCCGCAUGGAAGAAGAUUGAAAGACGGCUCUGCUGUCACUUCUCGAUGACCUUGCGGUGCAGUAGUUAGUUGGUGGGGUAACGGCCUAACAAGACGAUGAGGCAUAGCCGACCUGAGAGGGUGAUCGGCCACAGUGGGACUGAGACACGGCACAAACUCCUACGGAGGCAGCAGUAGGGAAUCUUCCGCAAUGGGCGAAAGCCUGACGGAGCAAUGCCGCGUGAGUGAAGAAGGCCUUCGGGUCGUAAAACUCUGUUAUAAGAGAAGAACAAAUUGUAGAGUAACUGCUACAGUCUUGACGGUAUCUUAUCAGAAAGCCACGGCUAACUACGUGCCAGCCGCCGCAGUAA
RNAcentral lists this ribosomal RNA (512 nucleotides) under uncultured bacterium. Its description in RNAcentral is "partial 16S ribosomal RNA". It matches the Rfam family "Bacterial small subunit ribosomal RNA", at positions 28 to 523 of the family's 1533-position model. The record is from RNAcentral.